RNAcentral lists this ribosomal RNA (484 nucleotides) under uncultured Verrucomicrobiota bacterium. RNAcentral describes it as "bacterial SSU rRNA". It matches the Rfam family "Bacterial small subunit ribosomal RNA", at positions 29 to 494 of the family's 1533-position model. Lineage: Bacteria; Pseudomonadati; Verrucomicrobiota. The record is from RNAcentral.
ACGAACGCUGCGGCGUGGAUAAGACAUGCAAGUCGAACGGGAUAAUUUCUGUAGCAAUAUAAAAAUUGUUCAGUGGCGCAAGGGUGAGUAACACGUGGACAAUCUGCCGAAAAGUGGGGGAUAGCUCGCCGAAAGGCGAAUUAAUACCGCAUGUGGCCAGGGAAAGCAUUUUUCCGAAGCCAAAGCCGGGGUAACCUGGCGCUUUUUGAUGAGUCCGCGGCCUAUCAGCUUGUUGGUGAGGUAAAAGCUUACCAAGGCUAUGACGGGUAGCUGGUCUGAGAGGACGACCAGCCACACUGGAACUGAGACACGGUCCAGACACCUACGGGUGGCAGCAGUCGAGAAUUUUUCUCAAUGGGGGAAACCCUGAAGGAGCGACGCCGCGUGGAGGAUGAAGGUCUUCGGAUUGUAAACUCCUGUCAUUAGAGAACAAUUGCAGGCGGUUAACUGCCGUCUGCUUGAUAGUAUCUGAAGAGGAAGAGAC